CCCUCUAUAGCUCAGUUGGUAGAGCAACGGACUCUUAAUCCGCGGGUCGCAGGUUCGAAUCCUGCUGGGGGGA
This 73-nucleotide transfer RNA is filed under the name Minisyncoccota bacterium. RNAcentral's name for it is "tRNA-Lys". It matches the Rfam family "tRNA". Rfam says of the family: Transfer RNA (tRNA) molecules are approximately 80 nucleotides in length. Their secondary structure includes four short double-helical elements and three loops (D, anti-codon, and T loops). Further hydrogen bonds mediate the characteristic L-shaped molecular structure. tRNAs have two regions of fundamental functional importance: the anti-codon, which is responsible for specific mRNA codon recognition, and the 3' end, to which the tRNAs corresponding amino acid is attached (by aminoacyl-tRNA synthetases). tRNAs cope with the degeneracy of the genetic code in two manners: having more than one tRNA (with a specific anti-codon) for a particular amino acid; and 'wobble' base-pairing, i.e. permitting non-standard base-pairing at the 3rd anti-codon position. Lineage: Bacteria; Bacillati; Minisyncoccota. The record is from RNAcentral. RNAcentral also lists the same sequence under 1 other name.